RNAcentral lists this ribosomal RNA (253 nucleotides) under uncultured bacterium. RNAcentral describes it as "partial 16S ribosomal RNA". It matches the Rfam family "Bacterial small subunit ribosomal RNA", at positions 524 to 776 of the family's 1533-position model. The record is from RNAcentral.
UACGGAGGGUGCGAGCGUUGUCCGGAUUUAUUGGGUUUAAAGGGCGCGUAGGCGGGCUGCCAAGUCUGGGGUGAAAUCCUCCGGCUCAACCGGAGAACGGCCUCGGAUACUGGCGGUCUGGAGGGAGGUAGGGGCGUGCGGAACUCAGGGUGGAGCGGUGAAAUGCGUUGAUAUCCGGAGGAACUCCGGUGGCGAAGGCGGCACGCUGGACCUUUUCUGACGCUGAGGCGCGAAAGCCAGGGGAGCAAACGGG